UACGGAGGGGGCUAGCGUUGUUCGGAAUUACUGGGCGUAAAGCGCGCGUAGGCGGCUUUGUAAGUUAGAGGUGAAAGCCCGGAGCUCAACUCCGGAACUGCCUUUAAGACUGCAUCGCUAGAACGUUGGAGAGGUGAGUGGAAUUCCGAGUGUAGAGGUGAAAUGCGUAGAGAUCUGGAGGAACACCCGUGGCGAAGGCGGCUCCCUGGUCCGAUUCUGACGCUGAGACGCGAAAGCGCGGGGAGCGAACGGG
RNAcentral lists this ribosomal RNA (253 nucleotides) under uncultured bacterium. RNAcentral describes it as "partial 16S ribosomal RNA". It matches the Rfam family "Bacterial small subunit ribosomal RNA", at positions 524 to 776 of the family's 1533-position model. The record is from RNAcentral.